AUACUUACCAGGCAGGGGAGAUACCAUGAUCACGAAGGUGGUUUUCCCAGGGCACGGCUUAUCCAUUGCACUCUGGAUGUGCUGACCCCUGUGAUCUCCCCAAAUGUGGGAAACUUGAUUGCACAAUUUGUGGUAGUGGGGAAGGGGGAAAAAAUGAGCAUGGCAUUUAUU
Molossus molossus (Pallas's mastiff bat) is the source of this 171-nucleotide small nuclear RNA. RefSeq annotates it as U1 spliceosomal RNA. NCBI's taxonomy places the organism in Eukaryota, Metazoa, Chordata, Mammalia, Chiroptera, Molossidae. The record is from RefSeq and is a predicted model, not a curated record. The transcript has a single exon.